This 262-nucleotide unclassified non-coding RNA is filed under the name Hevea brasiliensis (rubber tree). The record is from RNAcentral. Lineage: Eukaryota; Viridiplantae; Streptophyta; Magnoliopsida; Malpighiales; Euphorbiaceae.
CUCCUGACUAACUCUCCUAAGUUGGUUUGUUAACAAACCAGCAGGUUCAUCAUCUCAAUUCCCAUCAUCAGCCGAUUUUAAGUAAAGAGUUUCACCUCCGUCACUGCCGCCGCCUCCAGAGUUGCCUCCUCGCCCUUCAGUGGGCACUGCACUCCCAAUAUCUUGCUUACUUCCACAUGCCAUUCCUCUGCCUCCAGCAUCNAAAAUCAGGAAACCCUCCUGCCCCAAGCCCUCCGCUGCCUCCUGCAGUGCCGGCCUCACU